UCGAGCGAUGCUUUCAGUAGUUGUACUACAGAAAAUGACUGAGCGGCGAACUGGGUGAGUAACGCGUGAGCUAUCUACCUUAGCUGACAAGGAUAGCCCGAGGAAACUCGUGAUUACUACCUGCAUAUUCUUUAUCUGUCUCGACCUGAGAAUGAGAAGGAAAGGUCAGCCGAGCUAGGAUGAGCUCGCGUUCUAUCAGCUAGUUGGUGAGGUGAAAAGCUUACCAAAGGCUACGGACGGACUAGGCUGGAUCAUGGAGAGAGACGACUCAGCCACACAUGUGGACAUGAGACACGGCACCACGACUCCGUACGGCGAGGCGUGCAGGCAGGGUAAUAUUGUGCAAUGAACGAGAGUUUGACACAGCGACACCGCGGUGUGGGAUGACGGAUCUAGGUUAGUAAACCACUUUCAGGGAGGGAAGAAAAUGACGGUACCUCCACAAGAAGCCCCGGCCAACUACGUGCCAGCAGCCGCGGUAAUACGUAGGGGGCGAGCGUUGUCCGGAUUUAUUGGGCGUAAAGAGCUCGUAGGCGGUUCGACAAGUCGGUCGUGAAAGUUCAGGGCUCAACCCUGAAAUGUCGAUCGAUACUGUUGUGACUAGGAUACGGUAGAGGUGAGUGGAAUUCCGAGUGUAGCGGUGAAAUGCGUAGAUAUCCGGAGGAACACCAAGGCGAAGGCAGCUCACUGGACCGCUAUUGACGCUGAGGAGCGAA
Molecule: ribosomal RNA, 716 nt
Filed under: uncultured Actinomycetes bacterium
Lineage: Bacteria; Bacillati; Actinomycetota; Actinomycetes
Description: bacterial SSU rRNA
Rfam family: Bacterial small subunit ribosomal RNA
Source: RNAcentral